Molecule: ribosomal RNA, 400 nt
Filed under: uncultured bacterium
Lineage: Bacteria
Description: bacterial SSU rRNA
Rfam family: Bacterial small subunit ribosomal RNA
Source: RNAcentral
UGGGGAAUAUUGGACAAUGGGCGCAAGCCUGAUCCAGCCAUGCCGCGUGAGUGAUGAAGGCCUUAGGGUUGUAAAGCUCUUUCGGCGGGGAAGAUAAUGACGGUACCCGCAGAAGAAGCCCCGGCUAACUUCGUGCCAGCAGCCGCGGUAAUACGAAGGGGGCUAGCGUUGUUCGGAAUCACUGGGCGUAAAGCGCACGUAGGCGGAUUGUUAAGUCGGAGGUGAAAUCCCAGGGCUCAACCCUGGAACUGCCUUCGAUACUGGCUGUCUCGAGUCCGGGAGAGGUGAGUGGAACUGCGAGUGUAGAGGUGAAAUUCGUAGAUAUUCGCAAGAACACCAGUGGCGAAGGCGGCUCACUGGCCCGGUAUUGACGCUGAGGUGCGAAAGCGUGGGGAGCAAA